This 1016-nucleotide long non-coding RNA is filed under the name Homo sapiens (human). The record is from RNAcentral. Lineage: Eukaryota; Metazoa; Chordata; Mammalia; Primates; Hominidae.
UGGGUUAGAGGAAAGCUGCUGCGUUCAAGAGGAUAACGUGGGACCUGAGCAUUCUGUCAAAGUGGAGGAAGGAGGAGCUUGAGAUUGAAAAAUCAGUUUGAGAAGCAGCCACCUUGACUGGCUUCACUCUAAUAGCCUGGACGCUGCCUCCACACUCCAGGUGCACUGCUCAGCAUUCUCCAAGAAGAUCAUUAAGGCAGACCCUACGUGUUAAAUUUCAAUCAGUUUCAUUGAGCAAAUAUGCUGUUAAAUAGAGACUGCUGUGUGCUGCGUCAGUGUGCCUUAUGGGCAAAUGUGAUGGUGACUAUAAAUGCAGACCAAGCAGUCCUUCCCACACUGUGUACACAAAGAAAGGAGCUCUGGAACUGGGAGCCAGGACAUCUGCAGGAGGAGAAUUCUGAAGUGAAAGGAGGCCUGGAUAUUGGUUGCAAGGCCUUGUCCCUGGAGCCUGGAUGCUCUCAUACCUUCUACAUCUGGGCCUCUGGGUCCAGGACAGUGCCAGGGAGAGUUCAUAGAAACAAAUGUGUUGAAGACCUUAGCGGUUGUCUGACUCUGAGACAGUUACCUGGCCACUCUUAAGUUUCCUCAUUUUUUUUUUAAUUUUACUUUAAGUUGCGGGAUACAUGUGCAGAACGUGCAGGUUUGUUACAUAGGUAUGCAUGUGCCAUGGUGGUUUGCUGCACCUGUCAACCUUUCAUCUAGGUUUUAAGCCCCUCAUGCAUUAGAUAUUUGUCCUAAUGCUCUCCUUCCCCUUGGCCCCCUGUCAGGUCCUGGUGUGUGUGUUGUCUGGCCCCCACCGUGUCCAUGUGUUCCUAUUGUUCAUCUCCCAUUUAUGAGUGAGAAUAUGUGGUGUUUGGCUUUCUCUUCCUGUGUUAGUUUGCUGAGGAUGAUGGUUUCCAGCUUCAUCCAUGUCCCUGCAGAGGACAUGAUCUCAUCCUUUUCAUGGCUGCAUAGUAUUCCGUGUUGUGUAUAUACCACAUUUUCUUUAUCCAGUCUUUCAUUGGUGGACAUUUGGG